This 497-nucleotide ribosomal RNA is filed under the name uncultured bacterium. RNAcentral's name for it is "partial 16S ribosomal RNA". It matches the Rfam family "Bacterial small subunit ribosomal RNA", at positions 28 to 507 of the family's 1533-position model. The record is from RNAcentral.
GAUGAACGCUGGCGGCGUGCCUAAUACAUGCAAGUCGAGCGAACGGACGAGAAUCUUUCUUCUCUGAUGUUAGCGGCGGACGGGUGAGUAACACGUGGAUAACCUACCUAUAAGACUGGGAUAACUUCGGGAAACCGGCGCUAAGACGGGAUAAUAAUUUGAACUGCAUGGUUCAAAAGUGAAAGACGGUCUUGCUGUCACUUAUAGAUGGAUCCGCGCUGCAUUAGCUAGUUGGUAAGGUAACGGCUUACCAAGGCUACGAGGCAUAGCCGACCUCAGAGGGUCGUCGGCCACACUGGAAGUGAGACACGGUACAGACUCCUACGCGAGGCAGCAGUAGGGAAUCUUCCGCGAUGGAGGAGAGCCGGACGGAGCAAAGCGGCGUGAGGGAUGAAGGUCUUAGGAUGGUAAAACGCUGUUAUUAGGAAAGAACAUAUGUGCAAGUAACUGUGAACAUAUUGACGGUACCUAAUCAGAAAGCCACGGCUAACUACGUG